This 498-nucleotide ribosomal RNA is filed under the name uncultured bacterium. RNAcentral's name for it is "bacterial SSU rRNA". It matches the Rfam family "Bacterial small subunit ribosomal RNA", at positions 29 to 526 of the family's 1533-position model. The record is from RNAcentral.
AUUGAACGCUGGCGGCAUGCUUUACACAUGCAAGUCGAACGGCAGCGCGGGGGCAACCCUGGCGGCGAGUGGCGAACGGGUGAGUAAUGCAUCGGAACGUAUCCUGUAAUGGGGGAUAACGUAGCGAAAGUUACGCUAAUACCGCAUACGCUCGAGAGAGGAAAGUGGGGGAUCGCAAGACCUCACGUUAUAGGAGCGGCCGAUGUCCGAUUAGCUAGUUGGUGGGGUAAAGGCCUACCAAGGCGACGAUCGGUAGCUGGUCUGAGAGGAUGAUCAGCCACACUGGGACUGAGACACGGCCCAGACUCCUACGGGAGGCAGCAGUGGGGAAUUUUGGACAAUGGGCGAAAGCCUGAUCCAGCCAUGCCGCGUGCGGGAAGAAGGCCUCGGUUGUAACGCUUAGUCGGAAACGGGUAGGCGAGGAUAAUAACCUCGUGCUUGUAUGGUACUGGAAGAAUAAGACACCGGCUAACUACGUGCCAGCAGCCGCGGUAAUAU